GUUUUUAUAGUUAAAUUAUAACAGUGGUUUUUCAAGCUACAGAUCCUGGUUAAAGCCCUGGUAAAAAUU
This 69-nucleotide transfer RNA is filed under the name Histrio histrio (sargassumfish). RNAcentral's name for it is "tRNA-Glu". It matches the Rfam family "tRNA". Rfam says of the family: Transfer RNA (tRNA) molecules are approximately 80 nucleotides in length. Lineage: Eukaryota; Metazoa; Chordata; Actinopteri; Lophiiformes; Antennariidae. The record is from RNAcentral.